GUGCUCACAUCAGCAGCACAUAUACUAAAAUUGGAAUGAUAAAGAGAAAUGUCCCCUGCACAAAUUUAUGAAAUGUUCAAUAUUUUU
Tupaia belangeri (northern tree shrew) is the source of this 87-nucleotide small nuclear RNA. The record is from Ensembl. NCBI's taxonomy places the organism in Eukaryota, Metazoa, Chordata, Mammalia, Scandentia, Tupaiidae.